AAGAAAUUCUUCCUUUUAAAAUUUUUCUUGUAGGGUUUUUGAAUCUGAAAAAUCCCCA
Non-coding RNA from Nicotiana attenuata, 58 nucleotides. It matches the Rfam family "U7 small nuclear RNA". Rfam says of the family: Animal histone pre-mRNAs are spliced by a different mechanism than nuclear pre-mRNAs and self-splicing introns. This processing involves the U7 snRNP, which contains only one RNA species: U7. Lineage: Eukaryota; Viridiplantae; Streptophyta; Magnoliopsida; Solanales; Solanaceae. The record is from Rfam.